UCUCUUUGCAAGAUUGCAUUUCACAUAAGAAUGAAGUUAGGACUUUUUCUUGGCCUUUCUUAAUUUUCUUCUCAAAAAAAUUCAGCAUUCCUUCUCUCUCUUUUCUUUUUGGCAUGUCCCCCACUUUGGGCAUGGAACAAUUCUACGUGAGGUUGGGGUGGGGCGUCCAAUAACUUGGGCAUGCAACAAGAGGGGUGUGAGAUAAGAGGGGGCAAACUCUUUUUCUUGGGCAUGA
Molecule: long non-coding RNA, 235 nt
Filed under: Elaeis guineensis (African oil palm)
Lineage: Eukaryota; Viridiplantae; Streptophyta; Magnoliopsida; Arecales; Arecaceae
Description: long non-coding RNA (EGUI_LNC051825)
Source: RNAcentral